GAUGAACGCUAGCUACAGGCUUAACACAUGCAAGUCGAGGGGCAGCGGGAUUGUAGCAAUACAAUUGCCGGCGACCGGCGCACGGGUGAGUAACACGUAUCCAACCUUCCGGUUACUCGGGGAUAGCCUUUCGAAAGAAAGAUUAAUACCCGAUAGUAUAAAUUUUCCGCAUGGUUUGUUUAUUAAAGAUUCAUCGGUAACCGAUGGGGAUGCGUUCCAUUAGAUAGUAGGCGGGGUAACGCCCACCUAGUCGACGAUGGAUAGGGGUUCUGAGAGGAAGGUCCCCCCACAUUGGAACUGAGACACGGCCCAGACUCCUACGGGAGGCAGCAGUGGGGGAUAUUGCACAAUGGGGGAAACCCUGAUGCAGCGACGCCGCGUGGAGGAAGAGGUUUUUCGGAUUGUAAACUCCUGUCGUUAGGGACGAUAAUGACGGUA
RNAcentral lists this ribosomal RNA (438 nucleotides) under uncultured bacterium. RNAcentral describes it as "bacterial SSU rRNA". It matches the Rfam family "Bacterial small subunit ribosomal RNA", at positions 28 to 477 of the family's 1533-position model. The record is from RNAcentral.